This 238-nucleotide signal recognition particle RNA is filed under the name Chlorocebus sabaeus (green monkey). RNAcentral describes it as "Metazoan signal recognition particle RNA". It matches the Rfam family "Metazoan signal recognition particle RNA". Rfam says of the family: The signal recognition particle (SRP) is a universally conserved ribonucleoprotein. It is involved in the co-translational targeting of proteins to membranes. Lineage: Eukaryota; Metazoa; Chordata; Mammalia; Primates; Cercopithecidae. The record is from Rfam by way of RNAcentral.
GCCGGGCGAGGUGGCGGGCACCUGUAGUCCCAGCUACUCGGGAGGCUGAGGCAGGAGAAUGGCGUAAACCCGGGAGGCGGAGCUUGCAGUGAGCUGAGAUCCGGCCACUGCACUCCAGCCUGGGCGACAGAGCGAGACUCCNGGAGUCUCGCUCUGUCGCCCAGGCUGGAGUGCAGUGGCCGGAUCUCAGCUCACUGCAAGCUCCGCCUCCCGGGUUUACGCCAUUCUCCUGCCUCAG